RNAcentral lists this ribosomal RNA (759 nucleotides) under uncultured bacterium. RNAcentral's name for it is "bacterial SSU rRNA". It matches the Rfam family "Bacterial small subunit ribosomal RNA", at positions 28 to 776 of the family's 1533-position model. The record is from RNAcentral.
GAUGAACGCUAGCUACAGGCUUAACACAUGCAAGUCGAGGGGCAGCAUGGUCUUAGCUUGCUAAGGCCGAUGGCGACCGGCGCACGGGUGAGUAACGCGUAUCCAACCUGCCUUACACUCUUGGACAGCCUUCUGAAAGGGAGAUUAAUACAAGAUGUUAUCAUGAGUAAGCAUUUUCACAUGAUUAAAGGUUUACCGGUGUAAGAUGGGGAUGCGUUCCAUUAGAUAGUAGGCGGGGUAACGGCCCACCUAGUCUUCGAUGGAUAGGGGUUCUGAGAGGAAGGUCCCCCACAUUGGAACUGAGACACGGUCCAAACUCCUACGGGAGGCAGCAGUGAGGAAUAUUGGUCAAUGGACGAGAGUCUGAACCAGCCAAGUAGCGUGAAGGAUGAAGGUUCUAUGGAUUGUAAACUUCUUUUAUACGGGAAUAAACGGAUCCACGUGUGGAUUUUUGCAUGUACCGUAUGAAUAAGGAUCGGCUAACUCCGUGCCAGCAGCCGCGGUAAUACGGAGGAUCCGAGCGUUAUCCGGAUUUAUUGGGUUUAAAGGGAGCGUAGAUGGGUUGUUAAGUCAGUUGUGAAUGUUUGCGGCUCAACCGUAAAAUUGCAAUUGAUACUGGCAGUCUUGAGUACAGUUGAGGUAGGCGGAAUUCGUGGUGUAGCGGUGAAAUGCUUAGAUAUCACGAAGAACUCCGAUUGCGAAGGCAGCUUACUAACCUGUAACUGACAUUGAUGCUCGAAAGUGUGGGUAUCAAACAGG